UCAGUUAUCGUUUAUUUGAUAGUACCUUACUACUUGGAUAACCGUGGUAAUUCUAGAGCUAAUACAUGCUAAAAACCCCAACUUCGGGAGGGGUGUAUUUAUUAGAUAAAAAACCAAUGCCCUUCGGGGCUCCUUGGUGAAUCAUAAUAACUUAACGGAUCGCAUGGCCUUGCGCCGGCGACGGUUCAUUCAAAUUUCUGCCCUAUCAACUUUCGAUUGUAGGGUAUUGGCCUACAAUGGUAUCAACGGGUAACGGGGAAUUAGGGUUCGAUUCCGGAGAGGGAGCCUGAGAAACGGCUACCACAUCCAAGGAAGGCAGCAGGCGCGCAAAUUACCCAAUCCCGACGCGGGGAGGUAGUGACAAUAAAUACUGAUACAGGGCUCUUUUGGGUCUUGUAAUUGGAAUGAGUACAAUUUAAAUCCCUUAACGAGGAACAAUUGGAGGGCAAGUCUGGUGCCAGCAGCCGCGGUAAUUCCAGCUCCAAUAGCGUAUAUUAAAGUUGUUGCAGUUAAAAAGCUCGUAGUUGAACCUUGGGCCUGGCUGGCCGGUCCGCCUCACCGCGUGCACUGGUCCGGCCGGGCCUUUCCUUCUGGAGAGCCGCAUGCCCUUCACUGGGUGUGUCGGGGAACCAGGACUUUUACUUUGAAAAAAUUAGAGUGUUCAAAGCAGGCCUUUGCUCGAAUACAUUAGCAUGGAAUAAUAGAAUAGGACGUGCGGUCCUAUUUUGUUGGUUUCUAGGACCGCCGUAAUGAUUAAUAGGGAUAGUCGGGGGCAUCAGUAUUCAAUUGUCAGAGGUGAAAUUCUUGGAUUUAUUGAAGACUAACUACUGCGAAAGCAUUUGCCAAGGAUGUUUUCAUUAAUCAGUGAACGAAAGUUAGGGGAUCGAAGACGAUCAGAUACCGUCGUAGUCUUAACCGUAAACUAUGCCGACUAGGGAUCGGGCGAUGUUAUU
This 953-nucleotide ribosomal RNA is filed under the name Rhytidhysteron ligustrum. RNAcentral's name for it is "SSU rRNA". It matches the Rfam family "Eukaryotic small subunit ribosomal RNA", at positions 106 to 1067 of the family's 1831-position model. Lineage: Eukaryota; Fungi; Ascomycota; Dothideomycetes; Hysteriales; Hysteriaceae. The record is from RNAcentral.